This 253-nucleotide ribosomal RNA is filed under the name uncultured bacterium. RNAcentral describes it as "partial 16S ribosomal RNA". It matches the Rfam family "Bacterial small subunit ribosomal RNA", at positions 524 to 776 of the family's 1533-position model. The record is from RNAcentral.
UACGUAGGGGGCAAGCGUUGUCCGGAUUUAUUGGGCGUAAAGAGCGUGUAGGCGGCCAAGCAGGUCCGCUGUGAAAACUCGAGGCUCAACCUCGAGACGUCGGUGGAAACCGUUUGGCUAGAGUCCGGAAGAGGAGAGUGGAAUUCCCAGUGUAGAGGUGAAAUUCGUAGAUAUUGGGAAGAACACCGGUGGCGAAGGCGGCGCUCUGGACCGAGACUGACGCUGAGGCGCGAAAGCGUGGGGAGCAAACAGG